RNAcentral lists this ribosomal RNA (472 nucleotides) under uncultured bacterium. RNAcentral's name for it is "bacterial SSU rRNA". It matches the Rfam family "Bacterial small subunit ribosomal RNA", at positions 28 to 514 of the family's 1533-position model. The record is from RNAcentral.
GAUGAACGCUGGCGGCGUGCUUAACACAUGCAAGUCGAACGAUGAAAGCGGGAGCUUGCUCCUGCUGGAUUAGUGGCGAACGGGUGAGUAACACGUGAGUAACCUGCCCUUGACUCUGGGAUAAGCGUUGGAAACGACGUCUAAUACCGGAUACGACCUUCGGAGGCAUCUCCUGGGGGUGGAAAGAAUUUCGGUCAAGGAUGGACUCGCGGCCUAUCAGCUAGUUGGUGAGGUAAUGGCUCACCAAGGCGACGACGGGUAGCCGGCCUGAGAGGGUGACCGGCCACACUGGGACUGAGACACGGCCCAGACUCCUACGGGAGGCAGCAGUGGGGAAUAUUGGACAAUGGGCGAAAGCCUGAUCCAGCAAUGCCGCGUGAGUGAUGAAGGCCUUAGGGUUGUAAAGACUCUUUCGCCUGAGACGAUGAUGACGGUAUCAGGAGAAGAAGCCCGGCGUAAUCCGUGCCAGCAG